This is a long non-coding RNA of Etheostoma cragini (Arkansas darter), 99 nucleotides long. RefSeq lists it as uncharacterized. The transcript has 3 exons. Lineage: Eukaryota; Metazoa; Chordata; Actinopteri; Perciformes; Percidae. The record is from RefSeq and is a predicted model, not a curated record.
GUUUGACUGUCAGCGACUUAAAGUGAUGGUUCGUAGUAAUUUCACCCUAGGGUCCUUUGCACCACGACCUCGAGCCUAACGACCCCCCAGAAGCUUUUU